UACAGAGGGUGCAAGCGUUGUUCGGAAUUAUUGGGCGUAAAGGGCGCGUAGGCGGUGCGGUAAGUCGGGUGUGAAAUCUCGGAGCUUAACUCCGGAAUUGCACCUCAAACUACACGGCUAGAGCAUUGGAGAGGGUAGCAGAAUUCACGGUGUAGCAGUGAAAUGCGUAGAUAUCGUGAGGAAUACCAGAGGCGAAGGCGGCUACCUGGACAAUUGCUGACGCUCAGGCACGAAAGCGUGGGGAGCAAAAGGG
RNAcentral lists this ribosomal RNA (253 nucleotides) under uncultured bacterium. RNAcentral describes it as "partial 16S ribosomal RNA". It matches the Rfam family "Bacterial small subunit ribosomal RNA", at positions 524 to 776 of the family's 1533-position model. The record is from RNAcentral.